RNAcentral lists this ribosomal RNA (434 nucleotides) under uncultured bacterium. RNAcentral describes it as "partial 16S ribosomal RNA". It matches the Rfam family "Bacterial small subunit ribosomal RNA", at positions 29 to 507 of the family's 1533-position model. The record is from RNAcentral.
AGCGAACGCUGGCGGCAGGCCUAACACAUCCAAGUCGAACGAACCUUUCGGGGUUAGUGGCGGACGGGUGAGUAACACGUGGGAACGUGCCUUUAGGUUCGGAAUAACUCAGGGAAACUUGUGCUAAUACCGAAUGUGCCCUUCGGGGGAAAGAUUUAUCGCCUUUAGAGCGGCCCGCGUCUGAUUAGCUAGUUGGUUGAGGUAAUGGCUCACCAAGGCGACGAUCAGUAGCUGGUCUGAGAGGAUGAUCAGCCACAUUGGGACUGAGACACGGCCCAAACUCCUACGGGAGGCAGCAGUGGGGAAUCUUGCGCAAUGGGCGAAAGCCUGACGCAGCCAUGCCGCGUGAAUGAUGAAGGUCUUAGGAUUGUAAAAUUCUUUCACCGGGGACGAUAAUGACGGUACCCGGAGAAGAAGCCCCGGCUAACUUCGUG